RNAcentral lists this ribosomal RNA (504 nucleotides) under uncultured bacterium. RNAcentral's name for it is "bacterial SSU rRNA". It matches the Rfam family "Bacterial small subunit ribosomal RNA", at positions 903 to 1397 of the family's 1533-position model. The record is from RNAcentral.
AAAUGAAUAGACGGGGACCCGCACAAGCGGUGGAACAUGUGGUUUAAUUCGAAGCAACGCGAAGAACCUUACCAGGGCUUGACAUCUAACAGACCUCUGCGAAAGUAGAGGGUGCUCUUCGGAGAAUGUUAAGACAGGUGGUGCACGGUUGUCGUCAGCUCGUGUCGUGAGAUGUUGGGUUAAGUCCCGCAACGAGCGCAACCCUCGUUGUUAGUUGCAUAUAGCGGUAUACUGCUAUAGUGCUCUCUAGCAAGACUGCCGGUGAUAAACCGGAGGAAGGUGGGGACGACGUCAAAUCAUCAUGCCCCUUAUGCUCUGGGCUACACACGUGUUACAAUGGCCGGUACAACGAGUCGCCAACUCGCAAGAGUGAGCAAAUCUCUAAAAACCGGUCUCAGUUCGGAUUGCACUCUGCAACUCGAGUGCAUGAAGUCGGAAUCGCUAGUAAACGCAGAUCAGCACGCUGCGUUGAAUACGUUCCCGGGUCUUGUACACACCGCCCGU